UUUUUUUUAAAUAUCAGAUGUUUACUAGCUAAAAUUAACUAUUAUUUAGAGCUCUGUAAAUAAAAAAAAAAGUAAGCAAAGCUCUAGAUAAUAGAUACAUAGGGGGGAAGAAAUUAUAGGUCACUAAAGUGAUUUGGUAAAAUUUUCAAAAAAGGGGAUUGUUUGAAAGUGCAUCUGACAUUUUUGAUAUGUAUAACUUUUAUUUUUGUAAAUACAAAUGGAAAAAAAAAUAGAUUGACAAUAAGAUAAUGAGGACAGCCACCUUCAAGUUGGCAGCCAGGAGAGCAGCUCCAUGGAAGAUGGUCAAUUAAAUCUUCAACCAAGUCUCAGGCUUUAGCAAGAAAAAUAUUUGGUGGUUGUAAUGACAAGGUUUUCAUGGUGUUGGGAGUAAGACUUGGAUAUCUGACACUGUUAACAUAUUGGUUAGCAUCACAGCAUUUCCAUAGGGUUACUUGCUGGGAUAGCAAUUAGAGCUGUUUUAAGUUGAAAUUGUUACUGUUGCUGCCUUGUAUGGUAAAAUCCUCAGGCAAUAAUCCUGAAACCAUUGGAUGAACUAUUGCAAUAUUUUUUAGUAGAAUCUGUAGACAGUAGUCUUGUAAGCAGAAGAAUGAAUUGUUAACAAAUUUAGUUUUUAAUGCUGUAUCAAUUUAUCUAAAAUCCAAAUUAUAAAUAUUUUUUUCCUUAUUUGUACUUGCAUUCCAUUAUUGUAUAGUGAUUGAUGAAAAAUAAAGCUGUGAAAUUAUUGUUAUUUGAGGGGACUCAAAAGUAUGCCAUAUGGUUUCACGAAAUACC
Long non-coding RNA from Mytilus californianus (California mussel), 792 nucleotides. RefSeq lists it as uncharacterized. NCBI's taxonomy places the organism in Eukaryota, Metazoa, Mollusca, Bivalvia, Mytilida, Mytilidae. The transcript is spliced from 4 exons. The record is from RefSeq and is a predicted model, not a curated record.